UACAGAGGGUGCGAGCGUUAAUCGGAAUUACUGGGCGUAAAGCGUGUGUAGGCGGAUCGUUAAGUGUCUUGUGAAAUCCCACGGCUCACCCGUGGAACGGCUGGGCAUACUGGCGAUCUUGGGCCAACUAGGGGCAACUGGAACAAGCGGUGGAGCGGUGAAAUGCGUAGAUAUCGCUUGGAACGCCAAAGGUGAAAACAGGUUGCUGGGGUUGUGCCGACGCUGAGACACGAAAGCCAGGGGAGCAAACGGG
This 253-nucleotide ribosomal RNA is filed under the name uncultured bacterium. RNAcentral describes it as "partial 16S ribosomal RNA". It matches the Rfam family "Bacterial small subunit ribosomal RNA", at positions 524 to 776 of the family's 1533-position model. The record is from RNAcentral.